GAUUAAGUUAUUAAGGGCGCACGGUGGAUGCCUUGGCACUAGAAGCCGAUGAAGGACGUUACUAACGACGAUAUGCUUUGGGGAGCUGUAAGUAAGCUUUGAUCCAGAGAUUUCCGAAUGGGGAAACCCAGCAUGAGUUAUGUCAUGUUAUCGAUAUGUGAAUACAUAGCAUAUCAGAAGGCACACCCGGAGAACUGAAACAUCUUAGUACCCGGAGGAAGAGAAAGAAAAUUCGAUUCCCUUAGUAGCGGCGAGCGAAACGGGAAGAGCCCAAACCAACAAGCUUGCUUGUUGGGGUUGUAGGACACUCUAUACGGAGUUACAAAGGACGACAUUAGACGAAUCAUCUGGAAAGAUGAAUCAAAGAAGGUAAUAAUCCUGUAGUCGAAAAUGUUGUCUCUCUUGAGUGGAUCCUGAGUACGACGGAGCACGUGAAAUUCCGUCGGAAUCUGGGAGGACCAUCUCCUAAGGCUAAAUACUCUCUAGUGACCGAUAGUGAACCAGUACCGUGAGGGAAAGGUGAAAAGCACCCCGGAAGGGGAGUGAAAUAGAACCUGAAACCGUGUGCUUACAAGUAGUCAGAGCCCGUUAAUGGGUGAUGGCGUGCCUUUUGUAGAAUGAACCGGCGAGUUACGAUUUGAUGCAAGGUUAAGCAGUAAAUGUGGAGCCGUAGCGAAAGCGAGUCUGAAUAGGGCGUUUAGUAUUUGGUCGUAGACCCGAAACCAGGUGAUCUACCCUUGGUCAGGUUGAAGUUCAGGUAACACUGAAUGGAGGACCGAACCGACUUACGUUGAAAAGUGAGCGGAUGAACUGAGGGUAGCGGAGAAAUUCCAAUCGAACCUGGAGAUAGCUGGUUCUCUCCGAAAUAGCUUUAGGGCUAGCCUCAAGUGAUGAUUAUUGGAGGUAGAGCACUGUUUGGACGAGGGGCCCCUCUCGGGUUACCGAAUUCAGACAAACUCCGAAUGCCAAUUAAUUUAACUUGGGAGUCAGAACAUGGGUGAUAAGGUCCGUGUUCGAAAGGGAAACAGCCCAGACCACCAGCUAAGGUCCCAAAAUAUAUGUUAAGUGGAAAAGGAUGUGGCGUUGCCCAGACAACUAGGAUGUUGGCUUAGAAGCAGCCAUCAUUUAAAGAGUGCGUAAUAGCUCACUAGUCGAGUGACACUGCGCCGAAAAUGUACCGGGGCUAAACAUAUUACCGAAGCUGUGGAUUGUCCUUUGGACAAUGGUAGGAGAGCGUUCUAAGGGCGUUGAAGCAUGAUCGUAAGGACAUGUGGAGCGCUUAGAAGUGAGAAUGCCGGUGUGAGUAGCGAAAGACGGGUGAGAAUCCCGUCCACCGAUUGACUAAGGUUUCCAGAGGAAGGCUCGUCCGCUCUGGGUUAGUCGGGUCCUAAGCUGAGGCCGACAGGCGUAGGCGAUGGAUAACAGGUUGAUAUUCCUGUACCACCUAUAAUCGUUUUAAUCGAUGGGGGGACGCAGUAGGAUAGGCGAAGCGUGCGAUUGGAUUGCACGUCUAAGCAGUAAGGCUGAGUAUUAGGCAAAUCCGGUACUCGUUAAGGCUGAGCUGUGAUGGGAAGAAGACAUUGUGUCUUCGAGUCGUUGAUUUCACACUGCCGAGAAAAGCCUCUAGAUAGAAAAUAGGUGCCCGUACCGCAAACCGACACAGGUAGUCAAGAUGAGAAUUCUAAGGUGAGCGAGCGAACUCUCGUUAAGGAACUCGGCAAAAUGACCCCGUAACUUCGGGAGAAGGGGUGCUCUUUAGGGUUAACGCCCAGAAGAGCCGCAGUGAAUAGGCCCAAGCGACUGUUUAUCAAAAACACAGGUCUCUGCUAAACCGUAAGGUGAUGUAUAGGGGCUGACGCCUGCCCGGUGCUGGAAGGUUAAGAGGAGUGGUUAGCUUCUGCGAAGCUACGAAUCGAAGCCCCAGUAAACGGCGGCCGUAACUAUAACGGUCCUAAGGUAGCGAAAUUCCUUGUCGGGUAAGUUCCGACCCGCACGAAAGGCGUAACGAUUUGGGCACUGUCUCAACGAGAGACUCGGUGAAAUCAUAGUACCUGUGAAGAUGCAGGUUACCCGCGACAGGACGGAAAGACCCCGUGGAGCUUUACUGUAGCCUGAUAUUGAAAUUCGGCACAGCUUGUACAGGAUAGGUAGGAGCCUUUGAAACGUGAGCGCUAGCUUACGUGGAGGCGCUGGUGGGAUACUACCCUAGCUGUGUUGGCUUUCUAACCCGCACCACUUAUCGUGGUGGGAGACAGUGUCAGGCGGGCAGUUUGACUGGGGCGGUCGCCUCCUAAAAGGUAACGGAGGCGCUCAAAGGUUCCCUCAGAAUGGUUGGAAAUCAUUCAUAGAGUGUAAAGGCAUAAGGGAGCUUGACUGCGAGACCUACAAGUCGAGCAGGGUCGAAAGACGGACUUAGUGAUCCGGUGGUUCCGCAUGGAAGGGCCAUCGCUCAACGGAUAAAAGCUACCCCGGGGAUAACAGGCUUAUCUCCCCCAAGAGUUCACAUCGACGGGGAGGUUUGGCACCUCGAUGUCGGCUCAUCGCAUCCUGGGGCUGUAGUCGGUCCCAAGGGUUGGGCUGUUCGCCCAUUAAAGCGGUACGCGAGCUGGGUUCAGAACGUCGUGAGACAGUUCGGUCCCUAUCCGUCGUGGGCGUAGGAAAUUUGAGAGGAGCUGUCCUUAGUACGAGAGGACCGGGAUGGACAUACCUCUGGUGUACCAGUUGUCGUGCCAACGGCAUAGCUGGGUAGCUAUGUGUGGACGGGAUAAGUGCUGAAAGCAUCUAAGCAUGAAGCCCCCCUCAAGAUGAGAUUUCCCAACUUCGGUUAUAAGAUC
RNAcentral lists this ribosomal RNA (2834 nucleotides) under Staphylococcus aureus. Its description in RNAcentral is "LSU rRNA". It matches the Rfam family "Bacterial large subunit ribosomal RNA". Lineage: Bacteria; Bacillati; Bacillota; Bacilli; Caryophanales; Staphylococcaceae. The record is from RNAcentral.